Molecule: ribosomal RNA, 492 nt
Filed under: uncultured bacterium
Lineage: Bacteria
Description: partial 16S ribosomal RNA
Rfam family: Bacterial small subunit ribosomal RNA
Source: RNAcentral
AGUGAACGCUGACGGUAGGCCUAACACAUGCAAGUCGAACGGCAGCACAGUAAGAGCUUGCUCUUACGGGUGGCGAGUGGCGGACGGGUGAGGAAUACAUCGGAAUCUACUUUUUCGUGGGGGAUAACGUAGGGAAACUUACGCUAAUACCGCAUACGACCUACGGGUGAAAGCAGGGGAUCUUCGGACCUUGCGCGAUUGAAUGAGCCGAUGUCGGAUUAGCUAGUUGGCGGGGUAAAGGCCCACCAAGGCGACGAUCCGUAGCUGGUCUGAGAGGAUGAUCAGCCACACUGGAACUGAGACACGGUCCAGACUCCUACGGGAGGCAGCAGUGGGGAAUAUUGGACAAUGGGCGUAAGCCUGAUCCAGCCAUACCGCGUGGGUGAAGAAGGCCUUCGGGUUGUAAAGCCCUUUUGUUGGGAAAGAAAAGCAGCAGGUUAAUACCCCGCUGUUCUGACGGUACCCAAAGAAUAAGCACCGGCUAACUUCGUG